This 901-nucleotide ribosomal RNA is filed under the name Fusarium duofalcatisporum. Its description in RNAcentral is "partial large subunit ribosomal RNA". It matches the Rfam family "Eukaryotic large subunit ribosomal RNA", at positions 51 to 981 of the family's 3401-position model. Lineage: Eukaryota; Fungi; Ascomycota; Sordariomycetes; Hypocreales; Nectriaceae. The record is from RNAcentral.
CUGAGUUAGGAACAACAGGGAUUGCCCUAGUAACGGCGAGUGAAGCGGCAACAGCUCAAAUUUGAAAUCUGGCUCUCGGGCCCGAGUUGUAAUUUGUAGAGGAUGCUUUUGAUGCGGUGCCUUCCGAGUUCCCUGGAACGGGACGCCAUAGAGGGUGAGAGCCCCGUCUGGUUGGAUGCCAAAUCUCUGUAAAGCUCCUUCGACGAGUCGAGUAGUUUGGGAAUGCUGCUCUAAAUGGGAGGUAUAUGUCUUCUAAAGCUAAAUACCGGCCAGAGACCGAUAGCGCACAAGUAGAGUGAUCGAAAGAUGAAAAGCACUUUGAAAAGAGAGUUAAAAAGUACGUGAAAUUGUUGAAAGGGAAGCGUUUAUGACCAGACUUGGGCUUGGUUAAUCAUCUGGGGUUCUCCCCAGUGCACUUUUCCAGUCCAGGCCAGCAUCAGUUUUCGCCGGGGGAUAAAGGCUUCGGGAAUGUGGCUCUCUCCGGGGAGUGUUAUAGCCCGUUGCGUAAUACCCUGGCGGGGACUGAGGUUCGCGCAUCUGCAAGGAUGCUGGCGUAAUGGUCAUCAACGACCCGUCUUGAAACACGGACCAAGGAGUCGUCUUCGUAUGCGAGUGUUCGGGUGUCAAACCCCUACGCGUAAUGAAAGUGAACGCAGGUGAGAGCUUCGGCGCAUCAUCGACCGAUCCUGAUGUUCUCGGAUGGAUUUGAGUAAGAGCAUACGGGGCCGGACCCGAAAGAAGGUGAACUAUGCCUGUGUAGGGUGAAGCCAGAGGAAACUCUGGUGGAGGCUCGCAGCGGUUCUGACGUGCAAAUCGAUCGUCAAACAUGGGCAUGGGGGGCGAAAGACUAAUCGAACCUUCUAGUAGCUGGUUUCCGCCGAAGUCCCCCCCUCCAGAAAAA